Molecule: ribosomal RNA, 164 nt
Filed under: Sanguisorba alpina
Lineage: Eukaryota; Viridiplantae; Streptophyta; Magnoliopsida; Rosales; Rosaceae
Description: 5.8S ribosomal RNA
Rfam family: 5.8S ribosomal RNA
About the family: 5.8S ribosomal RNA (5.8S rRNA) is a component of the large subunit of the eukaryotic ribosome. It is transcribed by RNA polymerase I as part of the 45S precursor that also contains 18S and 28S rRNA.
Source: RNAcentral
UAAACGACUCUCGGCAAUGGAUAUCUGUGCUCUCGCAUCGAUGAAGGACUUAACGAAAUGCGAUACUUUGUGUGAAUUGCAAAAUCAUGUGAACCAUCGAGUCUUUGAAUGCAAGUUGCGCCCGAAGCCAUUAGGCCGAGGGCACGUCUGCCUGGGCGCCACAC